RNAcentral lists this long non-coding RNA (340 nucleotides) under Physcomitrium patens. Its description in RNAcentral is "long non-coding RNA (PPAT_LNC000523)". Lineage: Eukaryota; Viridiplantae; Streptophyta; Bryopsida; Funariales; Funariaceae. The record is from RNAcentral.
CUUCGAUUUCUGGUUGCUCCCUUCGGCUGCUGCUCUAUUCCCAAAAAUCAUCUCGUCCAAGUCGGCCAUGGCCGCGUCGUCGUGUGUCGAGCUGGGAGGAGCGCUGGGCUUUAAGUCACGCUUCCGCACUAGCGAGGCUUCUUCAGCAGUACCGUGGGUGUCGUCGUCGUCCAAAGCUUGAACAUGAACGAACGUGGACUCUGCUGCUGGUUGAGUUUGCUCCGCGGUUCCCUUCGACAUCUCCUCAAACUUUGUCAGGACGCGCUGAAGGUCGUCAUUCACGUUCAGUGCCUCAAAGAGCACUGGAUCGGCGUCGCCUGUUCUCUCCACAAUUCUCUGC